Molecule: long non-coding RNA, 1660 nt
Organism: Macaca fascicularis (crab-eating macaque)
Lineage: Eukaryota; Metazoa; Chordata; Mammalia; Primates; Cercopithecidae
Source: Ensembl
CCAAAGUGCUGGGAUUACAAGCGUGAGCCACCACACCCAACCUCCUCUUAUACUAACCUGGUACCUGGGCCCCAGAGCAGUCCACCAGCUUUCCCCCCUCCCCAGACUCCUCCAGAGUUAAAACUUGGAACAGAACUUGGGAACCAUUAGUUAUUAGACAUUCAUUUAUUCAGCAACUAUGUGUAGUGCACCCACUAUGCACCAGGCACUGUUCUGAGCUGUGAUCAAGGACAGGCAUGGUCCCUGCUCCACUGGAAGACCGUAAAAAAAAGCCCCCCGCCCCCACGACUGGGGCAGGAACCCUCAGAGCAUUGGGGCUAGCCUGGCUCACUGGACAGGAAGUAGCUCUGGAGUGAGAAAUCAGAGGUGAAGGAUGGGACCCACUUCCUGGAUAGAGAGAACAGCCCGCAGAGGCUCUUUGGUGGAAGGGGAAGGGACAGGGGGCCUCGGGAAGGCAAGUGCCUGGGGACAGCGAGCAUCAUAUUCGGGCACCACAGGAAGCCUUACAGGAGGGUUCUGAGCUUCACCCUGAGGGCCUGAGGAAGGGGCAGGGCAGUCCCCAGCCCACAGUCACAGGGAGCUUGGAGAUUUCCGGAGGCUGACCUGCUAUCUAGUCUGUGUGUUCAGGUCCUGAACACCGUGGGGGGCACAGUGCUGGGCGGAUGCCAGGAAGAGCUAUGCAUUUUAAUGAGCCCGCACAACCUGCCCUCUCUCCCCAGAAUCCUAGGAGGAGCAGAUGGGGCUACCGGCAGGUGGGGCGUGGCUUCCCAGUAGCAUCCCUGAGGGAAGCCAAGGACUUUGGGGCAGCAAUUGAGCUCCAAAGCCAGUGGGGAAGUGCAGUCCACUAGCCACCACCUCUCUGCUUGGCACUGACGCAAUGCAGGGCCUCCUGACUUUCAGGGCCAAAGGAAGAUUCGAGACCCCUGCCCCAGGGCUCUGGGAGAGGGAGGAAGAAUUGUCCCCAUGCUCCCUACAGUCAGGCCGACGCUCCCUCUCAGAGGCCAUCCCAGACACUCCAAGGAGGCUGGUCUUCAUGUAGGGCCCUCCUGUUCCAGAGGGAUCCGGACUGGCGGCUCUGCAGCCACGGCCUCCGGCUGACCCGGCAUCCUCUCCUCCCACAGUCUCCUCCUGCAGGAGGCCGUCCCGUUCCACCUCUGGGCGGGGGUCCAGGGUGGGAGAGGCUGACUCACCACAUAGGCGACAAGGGCACUCCCUGACUUCACCCGAUCCCAGGGACCCCCAAGGUCAGCGCAGGAGGAGGUGGACCACAGCGGAAAGUGAGGCACAGGGUGGGGAUGGGGGUUCCCAAACUGUCCUGACCCCAACCGGCUGGAGGCCACACACACACAAGCUGAAGUACAAAGGCCACUCGCCCUAGUAACACCAGAACUCCAGGGACACAAGAAGAGACCCACACCGAGGGGAGACGCGGGCGCGGGGCUCUCACACCCAGACACAGGGACACAGCGGCGGACACAGCCCCCGCCAGCCCACGGCGACACGCCCGGGACCUCCGAAGGACCCUGGCGCCUGGAGCGCCUCCCCCGCACUCGCAGACUCGGGGACACGCGAGGAUCCCGCGGAGGCAGGGCCCCGCGCUCACUCACCCGCCUCGGCCGCCCGGGCCCGCGCCUUUGUCAUGCGCGCCGCUCACAAAGGC